GUACUGGAUUCAGCAGCACAUAUACUAAAAUUGGAAUGAAACAGAUAAUUAGCAUGGCCUAAGCACAGGAUGACACAAAUAUUCAUGUGAUAUUUCAUAAUUUU
Choloepus didactylus (southern two-toed sloth) is the source of this 104-nucleotide small nuclear RNA. Lineage: Eukaryota; Metazoa; Chordata; Mammalia; Pilosa; Megalonychidae. The record is from RefSeq and is a predicted model, not a curated record.